Molecule: non-coding RNA, 103 nt
Filed under: Belliella baltica
Lineage: Bacteria; Pseudomonadati; Bacteroidota; Cytophagia; Cytophagales; Cyclobacteriaceae
Also listed under: 1 other name
Description: SAM-I sequence
Rfam family: SAM riboswitch aptamer (S box leader)
About the family: The SAM riboswitch is found upstream of a number of genes which code for proteins involved in methionine or cysteine biosynthesis in Gram-positive bacteria. The SAM riboswitch acts at the level of transcription termination control. The predicted structure consists of a complex stem-loop region followed by a single stem loop terminator region.
Source: RNAcentral
UGCUUAUCGAGAAAGACCGAGGGAAGGGCCCUGCGACGUCUUAGCAACCUGAAUCAACAAGGUGCUAACUCCCAUUCUGAAGUAGAACAGAAAUAGAUGAGCG